GCCCCGGUAGCUCAGUUGGAUAGAGCAACGGCCUUCUAAGCCGUGGGUCAGGGGUUCGAAUCCUCUCCGGGGCGCCA
This 77-nucleotide transfer RNA is filed under the name Gammaproteobacteria bacterium. RNAcentral's name for it is "tRNA-Arg". It matches the Rfam family "tRNA". Rfam says of the family: Transfer RNA (tRNA) molecules are approximately 80 nucleotides in length. Their secondary structure includes four short double-helical elements and three loops (D, anti-codon, and T loops). Lineage: Bacteria; Pseudomonadati; Pseudomonadota; Gammaproteobacteria. The record is from RNAcentral.